UUGCACGCUGGCGGCAGGCCUAACCCAUGCCAGUCGAGCGGAUGAAGGGAGCUUGCUCCUGGAUUCAGCGGCGGACGGGUGAGUAAUGCCUAGGAAUCUGCCUGGUAGUGGGGGAUAACGUCCGGAGACGGGCGCUAAUACCGCAUACGUCCUGAGGGAGAAAGUGGGGGAUCUUCGGACCUCACGCUAUCAGAUGAGCCUAGGUCGGAUUAGCUAGUUGGUGGGGUAAAGGCCUACCAAGGCGACGAUCCGUAACUGGUCUGAGAGGAUGAUCAGUCACACUGGAACUGAGACACGGUCCAGACUCCUACGGGAGGCAGCAGUGGGGAAUAUUGGACAAUGGGCGAAAGCCUGAUCCAGCCAUGCCGCGUGUGUGAAGAAGGUCUUCGGAUUGUAAAGCACUUUAAGUUGGGAGGAAGGGCAGUAAGUUAAUACCUUGCUGUUUUGACGUUACCAACAGAAUAAGCACCGGCUAACUUCGUG
RNAcentral lists this ribosomal RNA (483 nucleotides) under uncultured bacterium. RNAcentral's name for it is "partial 16S ribosomal RNA". It matches the Rfam family "Bacterial small subunit ribosomal RNA", at positions 30 to 507 of the family's 1533-position model. The record is from RNAcentral.